UGACAGAUGAAUGGAAGUGGUUGGAGCCGU
Molecule: non-coding RNA, 30 nt
Filed under: Mus musculus (house mouse)
Lineage: Eukaryota; Metazoa; Chordata; Mammalia; Rodentia; Muridae
Source: RNAcentral